CCAUUUUUGAUGCUGGAUAAAAACUAUUGGAACAAUACACAGAAGAUUAGCAUGGCUCUUACACAAGGAUGACAUGCAAAUUCACGAAGAACAUGUGACAAAU
Small nuclear RNA from Sorex fumeus (smoky shrew), 103 nucleotides. The record is from RefSeq and is a predicted model, not a curated record. Lineage: Eukaryota; Metazoa; Chordata; Mammalia; Eulipotyphla; Soricidae.